This 216-nucleotide ribosomal RNA is filed under the name Glomeromycotina sp. RNAcentral describes it as "partial small subunit ribosomal RNA". The stretch from base 75 to 216 matches the Rfam family "Eukaryotic small subunit ribosomal RNA", at positions 721 to 864 of the family's 1831-position model. Lineage: Eukaryota; Fungi; Glomeromycota. The record is from RNAcentral.
GGGUCAGUAGGUUGGUCGUGCCACCGGUACGUACUGGUCUCACUGAUCCCUCCUUCCUGAAGAACCGUAAUGCCAUUAAUUUGGUGUUGCGGGGAGACAGGACUGUUACUUUGAAAAAAUUAGAGUGUUUAAAGCAAGCUAACGCUUGAAUACAUUAGCAUGGAAUAAUGAAAUAGGACGAUCGAUCCUAUUUUGUUGGUUUCUAGGAUUGACGUA